CACGUAAGUUGCGAGCNUUGUUCGGAAUUAUUGGGCGUAAAGGGCAUGUAGGCGGUAUGGCAAGCCUGAUGUGAAAUCUCCGGGCUUAACCCNGAGGUGCAUUGGGAACUUUCAUACUUGAAUUGCUGAGGGGAAGCCGGAAUUCCUAGUGUAGGGGUGAAAUCUGUAGAUAUUAGGAAGAACACCAAUGGCGAAGGCAGGCUUCUGGCAGACGAUUGACGCUGAGGUGCGAAGGUGCGGGGAGCGAACAGGAUUAGAUACCCUGGUAGUCCGCACAGUAAACGAUGUACACUAGGUGUC
This 300-nucleotide ribosomal RNA is filed under the name unidentified spirochete. RNAcentral's name for it is "bacterial SSU rRNA". It matches the Rfam family "Bacterial small subunit ribosomal RNA", at positions 524 to 824 of the family's 1533-position model. Lineage: Bacteria; Pseudomonadati; Spirochaetota; Spirochaetia; Spirochaetales. The record is from RNAcentral.